UACGGGAGGCAGCAGUGGGGAAUAUUGCACAAUGGGCGCAAGCCUGAUGCAGCCAUGCCGCGUGUAUGAAGAAGGCCUUCGGGUUGUAAAGUACUUUCAGUCGUGAGGAAGGUGUUAAGGUUAAUAACCUUAGCAAUUGACGUUAGCGACAGAGGAAGCACCGGCUAACUCCGUGCCAGCAGCCGCGGUAAUACGGAGGGUGCGAGCGUUAAUCGGAAUUACUGGGCGUAAAGGGCACGCAGGCGGUUAAUUAAGUUGGAUGUGAAAUCCCCGGGCUUAACCUGGGAAUGGCAUUUCAAGACUGGUUUAGCUAGAGUCUUGUAGAGGGGGUAGAAUUCCAUGUGUAGCGGUGAAAUGCGUAGAGAUGUGGAGGAAUACCGGUGGCGAAGGCGGCCCCUGGACAAAAGACUGACGCUCAUGUGCGAAAGCGUGGGGAGCAAAACAGGAUUAGAUACC
RNAcentral lists this ribosomal RNA (456 nucleotides) under uncultured bacterium. Its description in RNAcentral is "bacterial SSU rRNA". It matches the Rfam family "Bacterial small subunit ribosomal RNA", at positions 340 to 786 of the family's 1533-position model. The record is from RNAcentral.